UGGUGGAGCGAUUUGUCUGGUUAAUUCCGAUAACGAACGAGACUCUGGCCUAUUAAAUAGUUCGCCGAUUCCGAUCUGCCGGCGUUAACUUCUUAGAGUGACAAGUGGCUUUUAGCCACGCGAGAUUGAGCAAUAACA
This 138-nucleotide ribosomal RNA is filed under the name uncultured eukaryote. RNAcentral's name for it is "partial 18S ribosomal RNA". It matches the Rfam family "Eukaryotic small subunit ribosomal RNA", at positions 1299 to 1458 of the family's 1831-position model. The record is from RNAcentral.